UACGAAGGGGGCUAGCGUUGUUCGGAAUUACUGGGCGUAAAGGGCGCGUAGGCGGCGCAUCAAGUCAGGCGUGAAAGCCCCGGGCUUAACCUGGGAACAGCGCUUGAGACUGGUGUGCUUGAGGACCGGAGAGGUGGGUGGAAUUCCCAGUGUAGAGGUGAAAUUCGUAGAUAUUGGGAAGAACACCGGUGGCGAAGGCGGCCCACUGGACGGUACCUGACGCUGAGGCGCGAAAGCGUGGGGAGCAAAC
RNAcentral lists this ribosomal RNA (250 nucleotides) under uncultured bacterium. Its description in RNAcentral is "partial 16S ribosomal RNA". It matches the Rfam family "Bacterial small subunit ribosomal RNA", at positions 524 to 773 of the family's 1533-position model. The record is from RNAcentral.